This 1029-nucleotide ribosomal RNA is filed under the name Hesperomyces palustris. RNAcentral's name for it is "SSU rRNA". It matches the Rfam family "Eukaryotic small subunit ribosomal RNA", at positions 34 to 1070 of the family's 1831-position model. Lineage: Eukaryota; Fungi; Ascomycota; Laboulbeniomycetes; Laboulbeniales; Laboulbeniaceae. The record is from RNAcentral.
GUCUCAAAGAUUAAGCCAUGCAUGUCUAAGUAUAAGCAUUUAUACUGUGAAACUGCGAAUGGCUCAUUAAAUCAGUUAUUGUUUAUUUGAUGGUACCUUUACUACUUGGAUAACCGUGGUAAUUCUAGAGCUAAUACAUGCUAAAAACCCCGACUCACGAAGGGGUGUAUUUAUUAGAUUCAAACCAGUGUCCCUCGGGACUUUUUGGUGACUCAUAAUAACUUAACGCAGCGCAUGGCCUUCGUGCCGGCGCGGGAUCAUUCAAAUACCUGCCCUAUCAAGUUUCGAUGUGAGGGUAGUGUCCUCACAUGCUUUUGACGGGUAACGGGGAAUUAGGGUUCGACUCCGGAGAGGGAGCCUGAGAAACGGCUACCACAUCCAAGGAAGGCAGCAGGCGCGCAAAUUACCCAAUCCCGAUACGGGGAGGUAGUGACAAGAAAUACCGAUUCAGGAUCUUAUUGGAUCUUGAGAUUGGAAUGAGUACAAUUCAAACCCAUUAACGAGGAACAACUAGAGGGCAAGUCUGGUGCCAGCAGCCGCGGUAAUUCCAGCUCUAGUAGCGUAUAUUAAAAUUGUUGCAGUUAAAACGCUCGUAGUUGAACUUUGGGCUUGGCUGGCUGGUCCGCCUCACCGCGAGCACUGGUCCGGCUGGGCCUUUCCUCUUGGGGAUCCACAUGCCCUUCACUUGGGUGUGUCGGGGAACCAGGACUUUUACUUUGAAAAAAUUAGGGUGUUCAAAGCAGGCAUUUGCUCGAAUACAUUAGCAUGGGAUAAUAGAAUAGGACGUGUGGUCUUAUUUUGUUGGUUUCUAGGACCGCCGUAAUGAUUGAUAGGGAUAGUUGGGGGCAUCGGUAUUCAAUUGUCAGAGGUGAAAUUCUUGGAUUUAUUGAAGACCAACUACUGCGAAAGCAUUUGCCAAAGAUGUUUUCAUUAAUCAGGGAACGAAAGUUAGGGGAUCGAAGAUGAUCAGAUACCGUCGUAGUCUUAACCGUAAACUAUGCCGACUAGGGAUCGGGUGGUGUUCCAUUU